GUGUCAGCCGCCGCGGUAAUACGUAGGUGGCUAGCGUUACCCGGAUUUAUUGGGCGUAAAGAGGGCGCAGGCGGCUUUUCAAGUCGGAUGUGAAAUUUUCCAGCUUAACUGGGAAAGGCCAUUCGAUACUGUUAAGCUAGAGGACAACAGAGGGAGGUGGAAUUCCCGGUGUAGUGGUGAAAUGCGUAGAUAUCGGGAGGAACACCAGUGGCGAAGGCGGCCUCCUGGGUUGUUACUGACGCUUAAGCCCGAAGGCGUGGGGAGCAAACAGGAUCAGAUACCCUGGUAGUCCACGCGGUAAACGAUGGACACUGGGUAUAGGGAGUAUCGACUCUCUCUGUGCCGAAGCUAACGCGUUAAGUGUCCCGUCUGGGAAGUACGGCCGCAAGGCUAAAACUCAAAUGAAUUGACGGGG
RNAcentral lists this ribosomal RNA (415 nucleotides) under uncultured prokaryote. RNAcentral's name for it is "bacterial SSU rRNA". It matches the Rfam family "Bacterial small subunit ribosomal RNA", at positions 505 to 918 of the family's 1533-position model. The record is from RNAcentral.